UUAGAAGCCAAAGCCAACAGCAAUACAGUACUCCAGGUGCCUCGGCAGCCCCAGCAGCUCUAGGACCUCCAAAAUCGCCCUAGGGCUGAGCAUCGGAAUAUCUCCCCACAUCGAGAGGACUAUCCAGUGGAAAAUAGAGAGGAACAUGAUGGGUGUGAACAGAUUGUAAAAUAUGACAAAUAAAAAAUGAUGAAGGAAAAAGUGCAUAGGUUGACAUCAAAGAUGUUCAACAGCUGUGCAACCCAAAGGACAUCCCAACAAAAGCUUUUCCAUGAAAGACAUGCUGGUUCUGUGCUUGGCAGGUGGGACAGGCUACACACAAUUUAGAGUUUAUGUAGCACUCAGGACAAUUCUGCAAUCACAAGAUUUUGUAUUUGACACCUCUGGACCAGAUGACUCUAAGCUCCCCUCCAGCUGGAAAUCUGUGAUCAAGUCCCUGUGGCAGAAAGAGAUGGAUAAUGUAUAGGUGUCUAAAUUAUUUACA
This 484-nucleotide long non-coding RNA is filed under the name Monodelphis domestica (gray short-tailed opossum). RNAcentral's name for it is "lncRNA (ENSMODG00000040561.1)". Lineage: Eukaryota; Metazoa; Chordata; Mammalia; Didelphimorphia; Didelphidae. The record is from RNAcentral.